RNAcentral lists this ribosomal RNA (1679 nucleotides) under Klebsiella pneumoniae MGH 29. RNAcentral's name for it is "bacterial LSU rRNA". It matches the Rfam family "Bacterial large subunit ribosomal RNA", at positions 1267 to 2925 of the family's 2925-position model. The record is from RNAcentral. Lineage: Bacteria; Pseudomonadati; Pseudomonadota; Gammaproteobacteria; Enterobacterales; Enterobacteriaceae.
GGCAUGCUGGAGGUAUCAGAAGUGCGAAUGCUGACAUAAGUAACGAUAAAGCGGGUGAAAAGCCCGCUCGCCGGAAGACCAAGGGUUCCUGUCCAACGUUAAUCGGGGCAGGGUGAGUCGACCCCUAAGGCGAGGCCGAAAGGCGUAGUCGAUGGGAAACAGGUUAAUAUUCCUGUACUUGGUGUUACUGCGAAGGGGGGACGGAGAAGGCUAUGUUAGCCGGGCGACGGUUGUCCCGGUUUAAGCAUGUAGGCUGGUUAUCCAGGCAAAUCCGGAUAAUCAAGGCUGAGGUGUGAUGACGAGGCACUACGGUGCUGAAGUAACAAAUGCCCUGCUUCCAGGAAAAGCCUCUAAGCAUCAGGUAACAUCAAAUCGUACCCCAAACCGACACAGGUGGUCAGGUAGAGAAUACCAAGGCGCUUGAGAGAACUCGGGUGAAGGAACUAGGCAAAAUGGUGCCGUAACUUCGGGAGAAGGCACGCUGGUGUGUAGGUGAAGCCCCUGCGGGUGGAGCUGAGACCAGUCGAAGAUACCAGCUGGCUGCAACUGUUUAUUAAAAACACAGCACUGUGCAAACACGAAAGUGGACGUAUACGGUGUGACGCCUGCCCGGUGCCGGAAGGUUAAUUGAUGGGGUUAUCCGUAAGGAGAAGCUCUUGAUCGAAGCCCCGGUAAACGGCGGCCGUAACUAUAACGGUCCUAAGGUAGCGAAAUUCCUUGUCGGGUAAGUUCCGACCUGCACGAAUGGCGUAAUGAUGGCCAGGCUGUCUCCACCCGAGACUCAGUGAAAUUGAACUCGCUGUGAAGAUGCAGUGUACCCGCGGCAAGACGGAAAGACCCCGUGAACCUUUACUAUAGCUUGACACUGAACAUUGAGCCUUGAUGUGUAGGAUAGGUGGGAGGCUUUGAAGCGUGGACGCCAGUCUGCGUGGAGCCAACCUUGAAAUACCACCCUUUAAUGUUUGAUGUUCUAACGUUGGCCCCUUACCGGGGUUGCGGACAGUGUCUGGUGGGUAGUUUGACUGGGGCGGUCUCCUCCCAAAGCGUAACGGAGGAGCACGAAGGUUAGCUAAUCCUGGUCGGACAUCAGGAGGUUAGUGCAAUGGCAUAAGCUAGCUUGACUGCGAGCGUGACGGCGCGAGCAGGUGCGAAAGCAGGUCAUAGUGAUCCGGUGGUUCUGAAUGGAAGGGCCAUCGCUCAACGGAUAAAAGGUACUCCGGGGAUAACAGGCUGAUACCGCCCAAGAGUUCAUAUCGACGGCGGUGUUUGGCACCUCGAUGUCGGCUCAUCACAUCCUGGGGCUGAAGUAGGUCCCAAGGGUAUGGCUGUUCGCCAUUUAAAGUGGUACGCGAGCUGGGUUUAGAACGUCGUGAGACAGUUCGGUCCCUAUCUGCCGUGGGCGCUGGAGAAUUGAGGGGGGCUGCUCCUAGUACGAGAGGACCGGAGUGGACGCAUCACUGGUGUUCGGGUUGUCAUGCCAAUGGCACUGCCCGGUAGCUAAAUGCGGAAGAGAUAAGUGCUGAAAGCAUCUAAGCACGAAACUUGCCCCGAGAUGAGUUCUCCCUGAGACUUUAAGUCUCCUGAAGGAACGUUGAAGACGACGACGUUGAUAGGCCGGGUGUGUAAGCGCAGCGAUGCGUUGAGCUAACCGGUACUAAUGAACCGUGAGGCUUAACCUU